RNAcentral lists this ribosomal RNA (433 nucleotides) under uncultured bacterium. RNAcentral's name for it is "partial 16S ribosomal RNA". It matches the Rfam family "Bacterial small subunit ribosomal RNA", at positions 29 to 507 of the family's 1533-position model. The record is from RNAcentral.
AACGAACGCUGGCAGCAUGCCUAACACAUGCAAGUCGAACGAGACCUUCGGGUCUAGUGGCGCACGGGUGCGUAACGCGUGGGAACCUGCCCUUAGGUUCGGAAUAACUCCCCGAAAGGGGUGCUAAUACCGGAUAAUGUCUUCGGACCAAAGAUUUAUCGCCUUUGGAUGGGCCCGCGUUGGAUUAGCUAGUUGGUAGGGUAAAAGCCUACCAAGGCGACGAUCCAUAGCUGGUCUGAGAGGAUGAUCAGCCACACUGGGACUGAGACACGGCCCAGACUCCUACGGGAAGCAGCAGUGGGGAAUAUUGGACAAUGGGCGAAAGCCUGAUCCAGCAAUGCCGCGUGAGUGAUGAAGGCCUUAGGGUUGUAAAGCUCUUUUACCCGGGAUGAUAAUGACAGUACCGGGAGAAUAAGCUCCGGCUAACUCCGUG